This 422-nucleotide ribosomal RNA is filed under the name uncultured bacterium. RNAcentral's name for it is "bacterial SSU rRNA". It matches the Rfam family "Bacterial small subunit ribosomal RNA", at positions 358 to 773 of the family's 1533-position model. The record is from RNAcentral.
AGAAUCUUUCACAAUGGGGGAAACCCUGAUGGAGCGACGCCGCGUGGGGGAUGAAUGGCUUCGGCCCGUAAACCCCUGUCAUCUGUGAGCAAAGUUCCGGCGUAAACAGCGUCGGAAUUGAUAGUAGCAGAAGAGGAAGGGACGGCCAACCCUGUGCCAGCCGCCGCGGUAAUACAGAGGUCCCAAGCGUUGUUCGGAUUCACUGGGCGUAAAGGGUGCGUAGGUGGCGGGGAAAGUUCGAUGUGAAAUCUUCGAGCUCAACUCGGAAAUGGCAUUGAAAACUAUCCCGCUGGAGGAUCGGAGGGGAGACUGGAAUUCUCGGUGUAGCAGUGAAAUGCGUAGAUAUCGAGAGGAACACCAGUGGCGAAGGCGAGUCUCUGGACGAUACCUGACACUGAGGCACGAAAGCUAGGGGAGCAAAC